UUGCUUCCGCUGAGAAGAUAGUGGCGAACGGGUGAGUAACACGUGGGUAACCUGCCCAUAAGAGGGGGAUAACAUCCGGAAACGGGUGCUAAUACCGCAUAGUUUUCUUGAUCGCAUGAUUGAGAAAGGAAAGACGGCCUUUGUGCUGUCGCUUAUGGAUGGACCCGCGGCGUAUUAGUUAGUUGGUGAGGUAACGGCUCACCAAGACGAUGAUACGUAGCCGACCUGAGAGGGUGAUCGGCCACAUUGGGACUGAGACACGGCCCAAACUCCUACGGGAGGCAGCAGUAGGGAAUCUUCCGCAAUGGACGAAAGUCUGACGGAGCAACGCCGCGUGAGUGAAGAAGGUUUUCGGAUCGUAAAACUCUGUUGUCAGAGAAGAACAAGUCGGAGAGUAACUGCUCCGGCCUUGACGGUAUCUGACCAGAAAGCCACGGCUAACUACGUGCCAGCAGCCGCGGUAAUACGUAGGUGGCAAGCGUUGUCCGGAUUUAUUGGGCGUAAAGCGAGCGCAGGCGGUUCCUUAAGUCUGAUGU
RNAcentral lists this ribosomal RNA (536 nucleotides) under uncultured bacterium. Its description in RNAcentral is "bacterial SSU rRNA". It matches the Rfam family "Bacterial small subunit ribosomal RNA", at positions 75 to 595 of the family's 1533-position model. The record is from RNAcentral.